GGGGAAAGAAAAAAUUACAAUUUCUUAGAAAUGACACAGAGAAGGGAGGUUAGAGCAAGGGGGCUGUAGCUUAACACUGACUUCUGGCUAUCUGGCCCAACUUACUCCCCUAGCAAUGUCUGACUGGAAAUUUAAGAGAGAAAGAAUUCUAAGUUCAUGUGUGGUAGAGAAGAUGUUUAUCCUCACGGAUGUUCUUUUACACAGAUUACUCAAAUGCCAAGUGUUUCUUGCCAAAACAUAUUAAGGUGCA
RNAcentral lists this long non-coding RNA (250 nucleotides) under Homo sapiens (human). RNAcentral describes it as "non-protein coding lnc-UBLCP1-11:1". Lineage: Eukaryota; Metazoa; Chordata; Mammalia; Primates; Hominidae. The record is from RNAcentral.